UUAAGCGACUAAGCGUACACGGUGGAUGCCCUGGCAGUCAGAGGCGAUGAAGGACGUGCUAAUCUGCGAUAAGCGUCGGUAAGGUGAUAUGAACCGUUAUAACCGGCGAUUUCCGAAUGGGGAAACCCAGUGUGAUUCGUCACACUAUCAUUAACUGAAUCCAUAGGUUAAUGAGGCGAACCGGGGGAACUGAAACAUCUAAGUACCCCGAGGAAAAGAAAUCAACCGAGAUUCCCCCAGUAGCGGCGAGCGAACGGGGAGCAGCCCAGAGCCUGAAUCAGUGUGUGUGUUAGUGGAAGCGUCUGGAAAGGCGCGCGAUACAGGGUGACAGCCCCGUACACAAAAAUGCACAUACUGUGAGCUCGAUGAGUAGGGCGGGACACGUGGUAUCCUGUCUGAAUAUGGGGGGACCAUCCUCCAAGGCUAAAUACUCCUGACUGACCGAUAGUGAACCAGUACCGUGAGGGAAAGGCGAAAAGAACCCCGGCGAGGGGAGUGAAAAAGAACCUGAAACCGUGUACGUACAAGCAGUGGGAGCACGCUUCGGCGUGUGACUGCGUACCUUUUGUAUAAUGGGUCAGCGACUUAUAUUCUGUAGCAAGGUUAACCGAAUAGGGGAGCCGAAGGGAAACCGAGUCUUAACUGGGCGUUAAGUUGCAGGGUAUAGACCCGAAACCCGGUGAUCUAGCCAUGGGCAGGUUGAAGGUUGGGUAACACUAACUGGAGGACCGAACCGACUAAUGUUGAAAAAUUAGCGGAUGACUUGUGGCUGGGGGUGAAAGGCCAAUCAAACCGGGAGAUAGCUGGUUCUCCCCGAAAGCUAUUUAGGUAGCGCCUCGUGAAUUCAUCUCCGGGGGUAGAGCACUGUUUCGGCAAGGGGGUCAUCCCGACUUACCAACCCGAUGCAAACUGCGAAUACCGGAGAAUGUUAUUACGGGAGACACACGGCGGGUGCUAACGUCCGUCGUGAAGAGGGAAACAACCCAGACCGCCAGCUAAGGUCCCAAAGUCAUGGUUAAGUGGGAAACGAUGUGGGAAGGCCCAGACAGCCAGGAUGUUGGCUUAGAAGCAGCCAUCAUUUAAAGAAAGCGUAAUAGCUCACUGGUCGAGUCGGCCUGCGCGGAAGAUGUAACGGGGCUAAACCAUGCACCGAAGCUGCGGCAGCGACACUAUGUGUUGUUGGGUAGGGGAGCGUUCUGUAAGCCUGUGAAGGUGUGCUGUGAGGCAUGCUGGAGGUAUCAGAAGUGCGAAUGCUGACAUAAGUAACGAUAAAGCGGGUGAAAAGCCCGCUCGCCGGAAGACCAAGGGUUCCUGUCCAACGUUAAUCGGGGCAGGGUGAGUCGACCCCUAAGGCGAGGCCGAAAGGCGUAGUCGAUGGGAAACAGGUUAAUAUUCCUGUACUUGGUGUUACUGCGAAGGGGGGACGGAGAAGGCUAUGUUGGCCGGGCGACGGUUGUCCCGGUUUAAGCGUGUAGGCUGAUUUUCCAGGCAAAUCCGGAAAAUCAAGGCUGAGGCGUGAUGACGAGGCACUACGGUGCUGAAGCAACAAAUGCCCUGCUUCCAGGAAAAGCCUCUAAGCAUCAGGUAACAUCAAAUCGUACCCCAAACCGACACAGGUGGUCAGGUAGAGAAUACCAAGGCGCUUGAGAGAACUCGGGUGAAGGAACUAGGCAAAAUGGUGCCGUAACUUCGGGAGAAGGCACGCUGAUAUGUAGGUGAAGCGACUUGCUCGUGGAGCUGAAAUCAGUCGAAGAUACCAGCUGGCUGCAACUGUUUAUUAAAAACACAGCACUGUGCAAACACGAAAGUGGACGUAUACGGUGUGACGCCUGCCCGGUGCCGGAAGGUUAAUUGAUGGGGUUAGCGGUAACGCGAAGCUCUUGAUCGAAGCCCCGGUAAACGGCGGCCGUAACUAUAACGGUCCUAAGGUAGCGAAAUUCCUUGUCGGGUAAGUUCCGACCUGCACGAAUGGCGUAAUGAUGGCCAGGCUGUCUCCACCCGAGACUCAGUGAAAUUGAACUCGCUGUGAAGAUGCAGUGUACCCGCGGCAAGACGGAAAGACCCCGUGAACCUUUACUAUAGCUUGACACUGAACAUUGAGCCUUGAUGUGUAGGAUAGGUGGGAGGCUUUGAAGUGUGGACGCCAGUCUGCAUGGAGCCGACCUUGAAAUACCACCCUUUAAUGUUUGAUGUUCUAACGUUGACCCGUGAUCCGGGUUGCGGACAGUGUCUGGUGGGUAGUUUGACUGGGGCGGUCUCCUCCUAAAGAGUAACGGAGGAGCACGAAGGUUGGCUAAUCCUGGUCGGACAUCAGGAGGUUAGUGCAAUGGCAUAAGCCAGCUUGACUGCGAGCGUGACGGCGCGAGCAGGUGCGAAAGCAGGUCAUAGUGAUCCGGUGGUUCUGAAUGGAAGGGCCAUCGCUCAACGGAUAAAAGGUACUCCGGGGAUAACAGGCUGAUACCGCCCAAGAGUUCAUAUCGACGGCGGUGUUUGGCACCUCGAUGUCGGCUCAUCACAUCCUGGGGCUGAAGUAGGUCCCAAGGGUAUGGCUGUUCGCCAUUUAAAGUGGUACGCGAGCUGGGUUUAGAACGUCGUGAGACAGUUCGGUCCCUAUCUGCCGUGGGCGCUGGAGAACUGAGGGGGGCUGCUCCUAGUACGAGAGGACCGGAGUGGACGCAUCACUGGUGUUCGGGUUGUCAUGCCAAUGGCACUGCCCGGUAGCUAAAUGCGGAAGAGAUAAGUGCUGAAAGCAUCUAAGCACGAAACUUGCCCCGAGAUGAGUUCUCCCUGACUCCUUGAGAGUCCUGAAGGAACGUUGAAGACGACGACGUUGAUAGGCCGGGUGUGUAAGCGCAGCGAUGCGUUGAGCUAACCGGUACUAAUGAACCGUGAGGCUUAACCUU
Molecule: ribosomal RNA, 2903 nt
Filed under: Escherichia coli
Lineage: Bacteria; Pseudomonadati; Pseudomonadota; Gammaproteobacteria; Enterobacterales; Enterobacteriaceae
Description: bacterial LSU rRNA
Rfam family: Bacterial large subunit ribosomal RNA
Source: RNAcentral